GACGAGAUCAGGAGAUGAGCUCAACUGAGGAUGGCUUCCUAUCAGCAAAGGGUAGCUCGGUACUAUAACUUCUGAAUUAAGCCCAAGAUCUUCUAAGUUGGAGACCUAGUCCUUAGGAGAGCCAAAGUCUCCAAACCGACCAAGCAAGAAAAGUUAUCUCCGAAUUGAGAAGGUCCCUAUAAGAUUUCAGCGAUUCUAUAACCUGGAGCAUACA
This 214-nucleotide long non-coding RNA is filed under the name Elaeis guineensis (African oil palm). RNAcentral's name for it is "long non-coding RNA (EGUI_LNC025417)". Lineage: Eukaryota; Viridiplantae; Streptophyta; Magnoliopsida; Arecales; Arecaceae. The record is from RNAcentral.